UCGGAUCGUAAAACUCUGUUGGUAGAGAAGAACGUUGGUGAGAGUGGAAAGCUCAUCAAGUGACGGUAACUACCCAGAAAGGGACGGCUAACUACGUGCCAGCAGCCGCGGUAAUACGUAGGUCCCGAGCGUUGUCCGGAUUUAUUGGGCGUAAAGCGAGCGCAGGUGGUUUAUUAAGUCUGGUGUAAAAGGCAGUGGCUCAACCAUUGUAUGCAUUGGAAACUGGUAGACUUGAGUGCAGGAGAGGAGAGUGGAAUUCCMUGUGUAGCGGUGAAAUGCGUAGAUAUAUGGAGGAACACCGGUGGCGAAAGCGGCUCUCUGGCCUGUAACUGACACUGAGGCUCGAAAGCGUGGGGAGCAAACAGGAUUAGAUACCCUGGUAGUCCACGCCGUAAACGUUGAGUGCUAGAUGUAGGGAGCUAUAAGUUCUCUGUAUCGCAG
This 441-nucleotide ribosomal RNA is filed under the name uncultured Lactococcus sp. Its description in RNAcentral is "bacterial SSU rRNA". It matches the Rfam family "Bacterial small subunit ribosomal RNA", at positions 418 to 851 of the family's 1533-position model. The record is from RNAcentral. Lineage: Bacteria; Bacillati; Bacillota; Bacilli; Lactobacillales; Streptococcaceae.